This 467-nucleotide ribosomal RNA is filed under the name uncultured bacterium. Its description in RNAcentral is "partial 16S ribosomal RNA". It matches the Rfam family "Bacterial small subunit ribosomal RNA", at positions 28 to 506 of the family's 1533-position model. The record is from RNAcentral.
GACGAACGCUGGCGGCGUGCUUAACACAUGCAAGUCGAACGGAAAGGCCCUGCUUUUGUGGGGUGCUCGAGUGGCGAACGGGUGAGUAACACGUGAGUAACCUGCCCUUGACUUUGGGAUAACUUCAGGAAACUGGGGCUAAUACCGGAUAGGAGCUCCUGCUGCAUGGUGGGGGUUGGAAAGUUUCGGCGGUUGGGGAUGGACUCGCGGCUUAUCAGCUUGUUGGUGGGGUAGUGGCUUACCAAGGCUUUGACGGGUAGCCGGCCUGAGAGGGUGACCGGCCACAUUGGGACUGAGAGACGGCCCAGACUCCUACGGGAGGCAGGAGUGGGGAAGAUUGCACAAUGGGCGGAAGCCUGAUGCAGCAACGCCGCGUGCGGGAUGACGGCCUUCGGGUUGUAAACCGCUUUCGCCUGUGACGAAGCGUGAGGGACGGUAAUGGGUAAAGAAGCACCGGCUAACUACGU